Molecule: long non-coding RNA, 857 nt
Filed under: Pandoravirus neocaledonia
Description: hypothetical ncRNA
Source: RNAcentral
CGGUCUGACCGUGCGCGCAAAAGACCACCGAGCGGCCUCGGUCCAGCAGACUUUGGAUCAUAGAUUGCUCAGCCCUGUCGUGGACAAAAUCGUCGGGAGGCACGCCGAGAGGCGGGAGCAUGGCGACAGCGUCAAGUUGAUUGCGUAGACGUGGUUGAAGCCGUAUGCCCUCUCCCAAAACGAUAACAAAAUGGCAGCGCAAAUGUCGCGCGUUCACGACAGCGCGGAACAAGCCCCCUGUAAUAUGCAAAGACAUAUAGACAAGGAAGAGGCGUUGUCCUACGCAACCGGGAGGCGGAUGUGUGCGCCCGCACCACGAUGCGACGUCGUCGUGGAUGCAUGUGGGAGGUGCGUGCGCGAGUAAAGCGCGCCCAAUCGCUGUCUGUCGAUCCAUGGGAUGGACCAGCGACGUGAUGGCCGCAUAGGGAUCUCCUGAAAACGACGCCAUGAACUCGGCGGCGUGCCUGACGGCCAUCGCCCGCAUGUCAUCGGUACCGCCAACGAUGGCGCAAACGUUGGGCCGGUGCGCCUCGCCCGUGGGAGUUGCACGGGCAGGUCCGCCCACAGGCCACGUCUGCGACGGAUAGUGCGCGUGCAUCAUGGCCUCGGGGUCGGUUGGCCACGCGAUCUCAGCGUCAAAGUCGGCGUGGUGUGCGACCACACUCGAAAAGAGGGCGCGUGCUUCGGGACCCGGGUCGACCGACGACAGGUCGGCGUCGCCGCCGGCCGUGCCUGCGGGUGCUUCUGUCAUGCGGCUUUUUUUUUCUUCUCUUUCUCGUCUCCCGCCGGUUCCUUUGUCUCGCCGGUGGUACGGAGGCACCGGGCAGCGCGUGGUUGCAACAAUGGAGCCGCCAAAU